This 486-nucleotide ribosomal RNA is filed under the name uncultured bacterium. RNAcentral's name for it is "partial 16S ribosomal RNA". It matches the Rfam family "Bacterial small subunit ribosomal RNA", at positions 28 to 507 of the family's 1533-position model. The record is from RNAcentral.
GAUGAACGCUGGCGGCGUGCCUAACACAUGCAAGUCGAACGGCAGGGCCCAAGCUUCCUUGGGUUCUCGAGUGGCGAACGGGUGAGUAACACGUGGGUAAUCUGCCCUGCACUUCGGGAUAAGCCUGGGAAACUGGGUCUAAUAUCGGACAGGAUGAUGGCUUGGAUGCAAUUGUGGAAAGUUUUUUCGGUGUGGGAUGAGCUCGCGUCGUAUCAGCUUGUUGGUGGGGUAAAGGCCUACCAAGGCGACGACGCGUAGCCGGCCUGAGAGGGUGAACAGCCCCACUGGAACUGAGACACGGACUAGGACUCUAAGGGAGGCCGGAGUCGGGAAUAUGGGAGAAUGGGCGAAAGUCUGACAAAGCGAGAACGCGUGAGUGAGGAAGGCCUUCGGGGUGUUGAGCCCUUUUGUGGGGUAAGAAACGCAGCAUGUUAAUAAACCGCUGUUGUGACGGUACCUAAAGAAGAAGCACCGGCUAACUUCGUG